This is a ribosomal RNA of Carassius auratus (goldfish), 119 nucleotides long. Lineage: Eukaryota; Metazoa; Chordata; Actinopteri; Cypriniformes; Cyprinidae. The record is from Ensembl.
GCUUACGGCCAUACCAACCUGGCUAUGCCCGAUCUCGUCUGAUCUCGGAAGCUAAGCAGGUUUGGGCCUGGUUAGUACUUGGAUGGGAGACCGGCUGGGAAUACCAGGUGCUGUAAGCU